CAUGCAAUAAUUGACGCCACGGUCCGCUACUCUCUUUGCAUACAUUAAGUAUCUCUCCCCACCGGUGCCCCUGCGCUCCACUAACGACGCUGUUCAGCUACAGUUUUGUCGGCAUGGAAUGGUCCGGAGAUGGCCGUGCAAGCAAUGGAAGCCAGAGUCUCCCCGCGAGAGUUGAUGGAAUGGGAGACGUGCUUGCAGGAGCCAUCGUCCCUGUUGCCGUCGACGUUGACCCCCUCCGUGUUGCAGCGAGUCACAACAACAGCGGGAAACAGAAAUGACUACAUAAGAAGGCAUGGAAUGCAACAUGCACAUUAGGGUUACUCCCUAAGUACAAGGAGAGGAAACCUCCAUCUCCAAGACGUACUGUCUUUUCUCCUCGUCAAGCGAAGCAAUCAAACCGGAAACCAAUACUCUCUUCUUCUUCUGAUUCCGAUGAUGCAUCGUCAAUCUGUCCACGUGCGCUCGGCCCCGAAGCUGGGAUCCCGUAGCCAUCGAUCCCUUCAUCAAAAAAUGCCAACCUAAAAGAAGUCAAUUUUUCAGAAGAAGCACACUCAACAUUACAUAUACGGGAUGCCUUUGCAAAAAUCCUGGUUGCAUGGUGCACUGGAGAAAACAUGAUUUCAGUAUCGAGGAUGCUAUAGGCCAUGCGCACAUACAUGGGUGUACAUGAUCGAUCGAUACAUAAAAAUCGUGCAAACCGAUGGAUGAGUUUUAGAAAUAAUGCACACAUGACCCAUGGUGGAACGGAAGUACUAUGAUAUUGAAUCAUUGAUUGAGAUGGCACUGCCCCUCGCCGCAGGAUCGCUGCAGCAGCUAGGACUAGAUUCGUCGAGUUGUUUUAUCAAACACUUCAGAGGGGAGAAGUACAUUAGAUCAAAUGCUGCUGCCCUUUAGAGUCUGCGUGACUCUGAUCAUGGGCCGCCCCCUUUGUCUGCGCGAUGACGUACAAGGGAGAACCGACAAAAAGAGAGUUGCUUUUUUUCGGGGCGCGAGCAUUUGACUUUUUCCACAGUAAAAACAUUGUUUUUUCUACCUGCUCCUCCCUGUAAAUAGUCUUGGGGCUGAAUAGGGCUUUAGGGCAUCUCUAACAUUG
This is a long non-coding RNA of Triticum aestivum (bread wheat), 1093 nucleotides long. RefSeq lists it as uncharacterized. Lineage: Eukaryota; Viridiplantae; Streptophyta; Magnoliopsida; Poales; Poaceae. The record is from RefSeq and is a predicted model, not a curated record. The transcript has 4 exons.